AACCGUCAUAUAGGGUAAUCAUUA
This 24-nucleotide small nuclear RNA is filed under the name Arabidopsis thaliana (thale cress). Its description in RNAcentral is "snRNA_14657". The record is from RNAcentral. Lineage: Eukaryota; Viridiplantae; Streptophyta; Magnoliopsida; Brassicales; Brassicaceae.